AACUUCUGUUGUCAUCCAGUGGCUGAAAUCAACUGGAAGCCUACAGGGAAAGACCUGCCUCCUGGGACACAGAGCAGCUGUUGAUAUCGAUGGAAUUCCUGACCAGUAACAUUUCCAUGAAGAUCAUUACAAUUUAUUUCUUGAAAUUCUGGGAAGGCAUGGAAACAUCACAUUGCAGCAGAUGCUGGGGAUGCAGCAAUGAACAAGACAGGCCAGAUCCCUACUCUCAGAUAAACACAAUGAUCCAGGUCAGUAGGCAUUUGGUAGGAAUCUGCAUCAAACUGUUGGGCAAUGGUAGACAGCAACAUUGACGUCUGUAAAUUUACACUUGGAUUCUUAGUUUCUGGUUGGCUGCAUCCUUCUUCUGAAGGCCACUGCUCUUUUCAGAAGACCUCCCUAGAUGGCUAAGCUCUCUGGGUUGCAACAGUUGCUCUUUUUCCUUGAGCCUUAGGUUAGGGAGUUGGGAGGAAGUAAUGGCUUCCCCCACUGCUAGCUCCAGGGUGCUACACUUUCUCUUUUCUAGUUUCCCUAAUCUGGCUUACACCAUUAUAGAUAGACCCUUUAUUAAAAUAUCCUCAAUUUAUCCAUA
Molecule: long non-coding RNA, 589 nt
Filed under: Homo sapiens (human)
Lineage: Eukaryota; Metazoa; Chordata; Mammalia; Primates; Hominidae
Description: HSALNT0308574
Source: RNAcentral